ACGCUACAGUGCGCUUCAGGCAACAGCUGUCUCGAACAAGCGAGACUAGCACACUGUCUGUUUACAUCGCGAAAACAAAUUCAGCCACUGCUAUAAUCUGUAAUAAGCAGUCUUUCACAAAUUCGGAAUUUGUGUAAUUAAUUUUGCGCUUGCAAGAUAACUGCAAAGAUGUGCGAUCAUUGCAGACGCAGAGGGCAUGGGGUCUCAAAGAAAAUAAGGAAGGUGAGAAGAAAACUGCCAGGCUUCGAUGGUCAACUUGCAGAGGUUGAAAUGUUGCCCAUGGGAUUGUCUGCUAAACGAAUGCAUUGUGAACUACGGCGAGAGACCUCUGAUUCGGAGCAACAAAGUCCAUUACCCGGAUCAGAAGUUGCACCUUUCCCUAAAGCACAACCAUGCAGAGUCCAGUUAAACAGUGACGGCAGAUAUGGAUGUGUAGCAAUUACCAAGGAUGGGGUUACAGCAAUGUUCCUUCCGGACAAGAGCCCUACCUGUGCAAGUGCCCUACCUGGCGUCAAAGAGCUAAGGCCAUGUUGUGAUAGGGCUUUGCAAUUAAAGACAAGACAAGGAAAGAAAAUAGAAAGCAGCAACCUCUCCCUGCAGAAAACAUCAACCAAUGGAUUGUGUGGUGGUAUGAUCAAUAUUCAUGUCAUCAAUGUGAAAGGAGACAGCCAUAGAUCUUCAGCAUUGAGUUCUUUGGAUGGAGUUCCUUUCUCAUGUCAUAAUGGACCAGAACAUUGCCCAAGGUGUGAUGCUUGUUACAAUGGAGGAUUUCCCACACAGACCAAUGACAAAUGGAGAGAAGAACUUUCAGAUCUGCCAGUGCACUUUGCAGACUCAGACCGAACAUCUAAAAAAGGCCAAACCAUUUUACAAAGAGCCCAAAGGUUCCUGCCUUUGUUACACGCUGUUUGUAUCUCAUUUUGCUCUCUGUUGGUUGCUGCUGACCUGUACUGUCAUUGGAAUGGAAGGUCAAGGUGCCCUGAGAGUGGCUUUUCUAGUCUAUUAUUUAGUCCAGCUUGUGACUACCAUCCUCCAGUAUGACUGGUUACUGUCAAUGAUAGGAUGACAUUUUCAUAUAAUUCAGGCUAAUUACUUCUGAUCUGUUAAUUAAAUAAAGAACUUCAUUUAAAUCCC
Long non-coding RNA from Coregonus clupeaformis (lake whitefish), 1134 nucleotides. RefSeq lists it as uncharacterized. NCBI's taxonomy places the organism in Eukaryota, Metazoa, Chordata, Actinopteri, Salmoniformes, Salmonidae. The transcript has 3 exons. The record is from RefSeq and is a predicted model, not a curated record.